AGAGCAGCAAGUUCUACACACACAGCACAAGGCCUACCUUCACUCUGGUGUGAGGCACUUUCACAGUGGCAACUACAGAGAAUUCUGCAGGAAAGAAUGGGCAGUUAAUGAAGAGCUGAGAGGAUGGAAAGGUCAGAGCCUGUGUAGGACUGAAGACCUGCACCCCACGAGCACCUCCCUCCUGCACCAUACGAACCCCAGACAGAGCCUCCCCAUUAUGGGGCAGUACCCAAGACAACAGGUCCAUGGGACGGAGAUCUGAAGAGGAGGAAGAGAGAAACUGCAUGAAAAGAAGCUGAAGAAGAAAGUCAAAGCAUAGCUGGUCACUAGAAUGUUGUUUUGGGUGCUGGUCUCUACUGGUCCACUAGGUAGACAAGCACCCAACCAGCACAAACCAGCAUAAAACAUCCUGGAAAGUCAUACACAUCUGGGAUGGCAUGAGGGUGUGCAGAGGUGUCCAGACAGCAGCAGGCAAAUCACCUGUCACCUGUAGGAUCAAAUGAGCAUGUUAACAGAUCAGAACUACAACUGAGGGCUCCAGGGGGAGAAGUGGUGUAUUUAGAGAGACAUUCAAAUGAAACCAUGUCA
This is a long non-coding RNA of Myxocyprinus asiaticus (Chinese sucker), 588 nucleotides long. RefSeq lists it as uncharacterized. The transcript has 3 exons. Lineage: Eukaryota; Metazoa; Chordata; Actinopteri; Cypriniformes; Catostomidae. The record is from RefSeq and is a predicted model, not a curated record.